GACGAACGCUGGCGGCGUGCUUAACACAUGCAAGUCGAACGGAAAGGCCCCUUUGGGGGUACUCGAGUGGCGAACGGGUGAGUAACACGUGAGUAACCUGCCCUUGACUUCGGGAUAACUUCAGGAGACUGGGGCUAAUACCGGAUAGGAAUCCUUGCUGCAUGGUGGGGGUUGGAAAGCUUCGGCGGUUUUGGAUGGACUCGCGGCUUAUCAGCUUGUUGGUGGGGUAGUGGCUUACCAAGGCUUUGACGGGUAGCCGGCCUGAGAGGGCGACCGGCCACAUUGGGACUGAGAUACGGCCCAGACUCCUACGGGAGGCAGCAGUGGGGAAUAUUGCACAAUGGGCGGAAGCCUGAUGCAGCAACGCCGCGUGCGGGAUGACGGCCUUCGGGUUGUAAACCGCUUUCAGCAGGGGCGAAGCUUGUGGUGACGGUACCUGCAGAAGAAGCACCGGCUAACUACGUG
This 465-nucleotide ribosomal RNA is filed under the name uncultured bacterium. RNAcentral's name for it is "partial 16S ribosomal RNA". It matches the Rfam family "Bacterial small subunit ribosomal RNA", at positions 28 to 507 of the family's 1533-position model. The record is from RNAcentral.